GGCCGGUUAGCUCAGUGGUUUGAGUGUGAUGCUGACAACAAUGACUACACUGAGGUCGUGGGUUCGAUUCCCGCUCGGUCG
Molecule: transfer RNA, 81 nt
Filed under: Apaloderma vittatum (bar-tailed trogon)
Lineage: Eukaryota; Metazoa; Chordata; Aves; Trogoniformes; Trogonidae
Rfam family: tRNA
About the family: Transfer RNA (tRNA) molecules are approximately 80 nucleotides in length. Their secondary structure includes four short double-helical elements and three loops (D, anti-codon, and T loops). Further hydrogen bonds mediate the characteristic L-shaped molecular structure. tRNAs have two regions of fundamental functional importance: the anti-codon, which is responsible for specific mRNA codon recognition, and the 3' end, to which the tRNAs corresponding amino acid is attached (by aminoacyl-tRNA synthetases). tRNAs cope with the degeneracy of the genetic code in two manners: having more than one tRNA (with a specific anti-codon) for a particular amino acid; and 'wobble' base-pairing, i.e. permitting non-standard base-pairing at the 3rd anti-codon position.
Source: Rfam by way of RNAcentral